Molecule: unclassified non-coding RNA, 314 nt
Filed under: plant metagenome
Description: partial contains 5.8S ribosomal RNA, internal transcribed spacer 2, and large subunit ribosomal RNA
Rfam family: 5.8S ribosomal RNA (bases 1-105)
Source: RNAcentral
GAAAUGCGAUAAUUAAUGUGAAUUGCAGAAUUCAGUGAAUCAUCGAGUCUUUGAACGCACAUUGCGCCCCCUGGUAUUCCGGGGGGCAUGCCUGUCCGAGCGUCAGUGCUGCCCUCAAGCACGGCUUGUGUGUUGGGCUUCCGUCCCUGGCAACGGGGACGGGCCCAAAAGGCAGUGGCGGCACCAUGUCUGGUCCUCGAGCGUAUGGGGCUUUGUCACCCGCUCCCGUAGGUCCAGCUGGCAGCUAGCCUCGCAACCAAUCUUUUUAACCAGGUUGACCUCGGAUCAGGUAGGGAUACCCGCUGAACUUAAGC